This 878-nucleotide ribosomal RNA is filed under the name uncultured Actinomycetes bacterium. RNAcentral describes it as "bacterial SSU rRNA". It matches the Rfam family "Bacterial small subunit ribosomal RNA", at positions 637 to 1510 of the family's 1533-position model. The record is from RNAcentral. Lineage: Bacteria; Bacillati; Actinomycetota; Actinomycetes.
CAGACUAGAGUGCAGUAGGGGAGACUGGAAUUCCUGGUGUAGCGGUGAAAUGCGCAGAUAUCAGGAGGAACACCGAUGGCGAAGGCAGGUCUCUGGGCUGUAACUGACGCUGAGAAGCGAAAGCAUGGGGAGCGAACAGGAUUAGAUACCCUGGUAGUCCAUGCCGUAAACGUUGGGCACUAGGUGUGGGGGACAUUCCACGUUUUCCGCGCCGUAGCUAACGCAUUAAGUGCCCCGCCUGGGGAGUACGGCCGCAAGGCUAAAACUCAAAGGAAUUGACGGGGGCCCGCACAAGCGGCGGAGCAUGCGGAUUAAUUCGAUGCAACGCGAAGAACCUUACCAAGGCUUGACAUAUACUGGACCGCCUCAGAGAUGGGGUUUCCCUUCGGGGCUGGUAUACAGGUGGUGCAUGGUUGUCGUCAGCUCGUGUCGUGAGAUGUUGGGUUAAGUCCCGCAACGAGCGCAACCCUCGUUCUAUGUUGCCAGCACGUUAUGGUGGGGACUCAUAGGAGACUGCCGGGGUCAACUCGGAGGAAGGUGGGGAUGACGUCAAAUCAUCAUGCCCCUUAUGUCUUGGGCUUCACGCAUGCUACAAUGGCCGGUACAAAGGGUUGCGAUACUGUGAGGUUGAGCUAAUCCCAAAAAGCCGGUCUCAGUUCGGAUUGGGGUCUGCAACUCGACCCCAUGAAGUCGGAGUCGCUAGUAAUCGCAGAUCAGCAACGCUGCGGUGAAUACGUUCCCGGGCCUUGUACACACCGCCCGUCAAGUCACGAAAGUUGGUAACACCCGAAGCCGAUGGCCUAACCCUUUUGGGAGGGAGUCGUCGAAGGUGGGAUUGGCGAUUGGGACUAAGUCGUAACAAGGUACCAAUCCCGCGG